GGGAAGGGAGCCCCGGGAGCGACUGCUGAGGGACACCGCGGCGAGCGAGCAUGGGUGGAGGAGCUGAGGGUGUGAGCAGGGCUGCAGCGGGCAGGUCCAAGGCAGGUUGGUGUUUAUCUUGGGAGAGUCUCCAUAACAGCUCUGCACGAUGGGAGGACCCCAAGACAGCAGCCCAAGGAGGACAGGCAUUCUCGUGAGACAGCCGGAAUCCAGGUCUUCAGCUCCUCUGUGGUGCCGCAGGGGCUCCUGGGAGUCCGCCAUCUUGUGGACAGUGAACGGCCAGCCGUCUGCUCUCUACUGGAUCUGAAGACAUCCCUGGGAGCAGAGCGGAUGUUGGUAGCAGAUUCCAGUAUGGGAAGCUCAGAGAAGGUAAGCAGGGUGUCGGGGAGCCCCUGCCUGGGGUCCUCUGCAGCCGCCGUGUCGCUGGGGACUCGGUGUCCGUCCCUUGGUGUGGUGCUUGGAGCCGAGGGUGGUGGUGGACACCUGUGGUGGGGAGGACGGUCAUGCCCAGGUGGGGCCAGGGGCCAAGUGGCUGCUGGGGUCACACUCACACAACUCACAGUCACU
RNAcentral lists this long non-coding RNA (567 nucleotides) under Sus scrofa (pig). RNAcentral's name for it is "lncRNA (ENSSSCG00070006013.1)". Lineage: Eukaryota; Metazoa; Chordata; Mammalia; Artiodactyla; Suidae. The record is from RNAcentral.